GCAAGUCGAGCGCACCUUCGGGUGAGCGGCGGACGGGUUAGUAACGCGUGGGAACAUACCCUUUUCUACGGAAUAGCCUCGGGAAACUGAGAGUAAUACCGUAUAAGCCCUUCGGGGGAAAGAUUUAUCGGGAAAGGAUUGGCCCGCGUUAGAUUAGAUAGUUGGUGGGGUAAUGGCCUACCAAGUCUACGAUCUAUAGCUGGUUUUAGAGGAUGAUCAGCAACACUGGGACUGAGACACGGCCCAGACUCCUACGGGAGGCAGCAGUGGGGAAUCUUAGACAAUGGGCGCAAGCCUGAUCUAGCCAUGCCGCGUGUGUGAUGAAGGUCUUAGGAUCGUAAAGCACUUUCGCCAGGGAUGAUAAUGACAGUACCUGGUAAAGAAACCCCGGCUAACUCCGUGCCAGCAGCCGCGGUAAUACGGAGGGGGUUAGCGUUGUUCGGAAUUACUGGGCGUAAAGCGUACGUAGGCGGAUUGGAAAGUUGGGGGUGAAAUC
RNAcentral lists this ribosomal RNA (496 nucleotides) under Sulfitobacter sp. Ar-139. Its description in RNAcentral is "bacterial SSU rRNA". It matches the Rfam family "Bacterial small subunit ribosomal RNA", at positions 57 to 601 of the family's 1533-position model. Lineage: Bacteria; Pseudomonadati; Pseudomonadota; Alphaproteobacteria; Rhodobacterales; Roseobacteraceae. The record is from RNAcentral.